Molecule: ribosomal RNA, 93 nt
Filed under: Prolemur simus (greater bamboo lemur)
Lineage: Eukaryota; Metazoa; Chordata; Mammalia; Primates; Lemuridae
Source: RNAcentral
UUUGCCUACGCCAUACCCCCCUGAAUGUGCCCAAUCUCAUCUGAUCUUGGAAGCUAGGCAGGGUCGGGCCUGGUUAGUACUUGGAUGGCAGAA